AAACUGGAGAUGGCGACCGGCGCACGGGUGAGUAACACGUAUCCAACCUGCCGACGACUCGGGGAUAGCCUUUCGAAAGAAAGAUUAAUACCCGAUGGCAUAGUUCUUCCGCAUGGUGGAACUAUUAAAGAAUUUCGGUCAUCGAUGGGGAUGCGUUCCAUUAGGUUGUUGGCGGGGUAACGGCCCACCAAGCCUUCGAUGGGUAGGGGUUCUGAGAGGAAGGUCCCCCACAUUGGAACUGAGACACGGUCCAAACUCCUACGGGAGGCAGCAUG
This 275-nucleotide ribosomal RNA is filed under the name uncultured bacterium. RNAcentral describes it as "partial 16S ribosomal RNA". It matches the Rfam family "Bacterial small subunit ribosomal RNA", at positions 79 to 353 of the family's 1533-position model. The record is from RNAcentral.